Jaculus jaculus (lesser Egyptian jerboa) is the source of this 191-nucleotide small nuclear RNA. RefSeq annotates it as U2 spliceosomal RNA. Lineage: Eukaryota; Metazoa; Chordata; Mammalia; Rodentia; Dipodidae. The record is from RefSeq and is a predicted model, not a curated record. The transcript has a single exon.
AUUGCUUCUCAGCCUUUUGGCUAAGAUCAAAUGUAGCAUCUGUUCUUAUCAGUUUAAUAUCUGAUAUAUCUUCUAUCUGAGAACAAUAUAUUAUAUGGAUUUUUGGAGCUCUGAGUUGGAAUAUGAGCUUGCUCUGUAUGCUCCAUGUAUUGACCUGGUAUUGCAGUACCUCUAGGAAUGGUGCAUUCCCU